GAUGAACGCUAGCGGCACGCUUCAUACAUGCAAGUCGAGGGGCAGCAUAAAGUACUUGUACUUUGAUGGCGACCGGCGAACGGGUGCGUAACGCGUAUGCAACUUACCUUUUACUAGAGAAUAGCCAAGAGAAAUUUUGAUUAAUGCUCUAUACACUUAUUAAUUCUCAUGAAUCUAUAAGAAAAGCUCCGGCGGUAAAGGAUGGGCAUGCGUCCUAUUAGCUUGUAGGUGAGGUAACGGCUCACCUAAGCUCCGAUAGGUAGGGGUCCUGAGAGGGAGAUCCCCCACACUGGUACUGAGACACGGACCAGACUUCUACGGAAGGCAGCAGUAAGGAAUAUUGGACAAUGGAGGAAACUCUGAUCCAGCCAUGCCGCGUGAAGGAAGACGGCCUUAUGGG
RNAcentral lists this ribosomal RNA (400 nucleotides) under uncultured Bacteroidota bacterium. RNAcentral describes it as "bacterial SSU rRNA". It matches the Rfam family "Bacterial small subunit ribosomal RNA", at positions 28 to 422 of the family's 1533-position model. Lineage: Bacteria; Pseudomonadati; Bacteroidota. The record is from RNAcentral.